UGGGGAAUAUUGGACAAUGGGCGAAAGCCUGAUCCAGCCAUGCCGCGUGGGUGAAGAAGGCCUUCGGGUUGUAAAGCCCUUUUGUUGGGGAAGAAAUCCUGCUGGCUAAUACCCGGCGGGGAUGACGGUACCCAAAGAAUAAGCACCGGCUAACUUCGUGCCAGCAGCCGCGGUAAUACGAAGGGUGCAAGCGUUACUCGGAAUUACUGGGCGUAAAGCGUGCGUAGGUGGUUCGCUAAGUCUGAUGUGAAAGUCCUGGGCUCAACCUGGGAACUGCAUUGGAUACUGGCGGGCUAGAGUGCGGUAGAGGGCAGUGGAAUUCCUGGUGUAGCAGUGAAAUGCGUAGAGAUCAGGAGGAACACCCGUGGCGAAGGCGACUGCCUGGACCAGUACUGACACUGAGGCACGAAAGCGUGGGGAGCAAACAGGAUUAGAUACCCUGGUAGUCCACGCCCUAAACGAUGCGAACUGGAUGUUGGGUUCAAUCGGGAACUCAGUAUCGAAGCUAACGCGUUAAGUUCGCCGCCUGGGGAGUACGGUCGCAAGACUGAAACUCAAAGGAAUUGACGGAGACGUCUACU
RNAcentral lists this ribosomal RNA (581 nucleotides) under uncultured Luteimonas sp. Its description in RNAcentral is "bacterial SSU rRNA". It matches the Rfam family "Bacterial small subunit ribosomal RNA", at positions 355 to 927 of the family's 1533-position model. Lineage: Bacteria; Pseudomonadati; Pseudomonadota; Gammaproteobacteria; Lysobacterales; Lysobacteraceae. The record is from RNAcentral.